This 255-nucleotide ribosomal RNA is filed under the name uncultured bacterium. RNAcentral's name for it is "partial 16S ribosomal RNA". It matches the Rfam family "Bacterial small subunit ribosomal RNA", at positions 524 to 777 of the family's 1533-position model. The record is from RNAcentral.
UACGUAGGGUGCGAGCGUUUGUCCGGAAUUACUGGGCGUAAAGAGCUCGUAGGUGGUUUGUCGCGUUGUUCGUGAAAACUCACAGCUUAACUGUGGGCGUGCGGGCGAUACGGGCAGACUGGAGUACUGCAGGGGGAGACUGGAAUUCCUGGUGUAGCGGUGGAAUGCGCAGAUAUCAGGAGGAACACCGGUGGCGAAGGCGGCUUCUGGGUCUUACCUGACGCUGAGGAACGAAAGCCAGGGGAGCGAACGGGA